CCUGACUGCUAUCGGAUUGAUACUAAGCCAUGCGAGUCAUUGUAGCAAUACAAGGCAGACGGCUCAGUAACGCGUAGUCAAUCUACCCUAUGGACGGGAAUAACCUCGGGAAACUGAGAAUAAUGCCCGAUAGAACAUUAUGCCUGGAAUGGUUUAUGUUUCAAAUGAUUUAUCGCCAUAGGAUGGGACUGCGGCCUAUCAGUUUGUUGGUGAGGUAAUGGCCCACCAAGACUAUUACAGGUACGGGCUCUGAGAGGAGUAGCCCGGAGAUGGGUACUGAGACACGGACCCAGGCCCUAUGGGGCGCAGCAGGCGAGAAAACUUUGCAAUGUGCGAAAGCACGACAAGGUUAAUCCGAGUGGUUUCUGCUAAAGAAACCUUUUGUCAGUCCUAGAAACACUAACGAAUAAGGGGUGGGCAAGUUCUGGUGUCAGCCGCCGCGGUAAAACCAGCACCUCAAGUGGUCAGGAUGAUUAUUGGGCCUAAAGCAUCCGUAGCUCGUUUUGUAAGUUUUCGGUUAAAUCCAUGCGCUUAACGUAUGGGCUGCCGGGAAUACUGCAUAACUAGGAAGUGGGAGAGGUAGACGGUACUCGGGAGGAAGGGGUAAAAUCCUUUGAUCUCUUGAUGACCACCUGUGGCGAAGGCGGUCUACCAGAACACGUUCGACGGUGAGGGAUGAAAGCUGGGGAGCAAACCGGAUUAGAUACCCGGGUAGUCCCAGCUGUAAACUAUGCAAACUCAGUGAUGCAUUGGCUUAUGGCCAAUGCAGUGCUGCAGGGAAGCCGUUAAGUUUGCCGCCUGGGAAGUACGUACGCAAGUAUGAAACUUAAAGGAUUGGCGGGGGAGCACCACAAGGGGUGAAGCCUGC
RNAcentral lists this ribosomal RNA (868 nucleotides) under uncultured archaeon. RNAcentral's name for it is "bacterial SSU rRNA". It matches the Rfam family "Archaeal small subunit ribosomal RNA", at positions 21 to 898 of the family's 1478-position model. The record is from RNAcentral.